RNAcentral lists this ribosomal RNA (497 nucleotides) under uncultured bacterium. RNAcentral describes it as "partial 16S ribosomal RNA". It matches the Rfam family "Bacterial small subunit ribosomal RNA", at positions 28 to 507 of the family's 1533-position model. The record is from RNAcentral.
GAUGAACGCUGGCGGCGUGCCUAAUACAUGCAAGUCGAGCGAACAGACGAGGAGCUUGCUCCUCUGACGUUAGCGGCGGACGGGUGAGUAACACGUGGAUAACCUACCUAUAAGACUGGGAUAACUUCGGGAAACCGGAGCUAAUACCGGAUAAUAUAUUGAACCGCAUGGUUCAAUAGUGAAAGACGGUUUUGCUGCCACUUAUAGAUGGAUCCGCGCCGCAUUAGCUAUUUGGUAAGGUAACGGCUUACCAAGGCAACGGUGCGUAGCCGACCUGAGAGGGUGAUCGGCCACACUGGAACUGAGAAACGGUCCAGACUCCUACGGGAGGCAGCAGUAGGGAAUCUUCCGCAAUGGGCGAAGGCCUGACGGAGCAACGCCGCGUGAGUGAUGAAGGUCUUCGGAUCGUAAAACUCUGUUAUUAGGGAAGAACAAAUGUGUAAGUAACUAUGCACGUCUUGACGGUACCUAAUCAGAAAGCCACGGCUAACUACGUG